Molecule: long non-coding RNA, 488 nt
Filed under: Mytilus galloprovincialis (Mediterranean mussel)
Lineage: Eukaryota; Metazoa; Mollusca; Bivalvia; Mytilida; Mytilidae
Source: RNAcentral
GGCGAAAUGAGACAUAAUGGUGGUUACAAACGUAGUCUUAAUAAAAAUAUCAACCUGAAGAAGGUGAUGUUCAGUGUUUAGUUCUCAGUCAGUUCGUAAGUGCAGAACGCAAAACUAUAGUCUGACGUCAUCAGACCGGCACGGGCCGGUCCUACCGGAAGAAGACCGGUAGGCCCGGUAACCUCAUAACUAGCUACGGCCAGUACGGCAGUUUAGAAGCUAUUAUACUUUUUCAAAGUGGUUUUUAAUAUGAAUAAUUUAUAAGGUAAAACCAACCACCAUUACACUCCCCCUCUCUUAAGACCUAAUGUCGGGACGACAUUAGUCCAACGAUAAAAUAUUCAAUAGAAUAGAUCAAAGUACAUAUAAUAUGAAAGCAUGUAAGUAGAUUUACCAAGUCCUUAAUUAUGUUUAACUUUAGCACUUAAUUAACAUCAAAGAAAAUCAAUAAAAAAUUUCAUUUCCAAAACUAUUUACCUUGAUUUCUA